Molecule: ribosomal RNA, 127 nt
Filed under: Clostridium sporogenes
Lineage: Bacteria; Bacillati; Bacillota; Clostridia; Eubacteriales; Clostridiaceae
Description: partial 23S ribosomal RNA
Rfam family: Bacterial large subunit ribosomal RNA
Source: RNAcentral
AGGUCAAGCUACAAAGGGCGCAUGGUGAAUGCCUUGGCACUAGGAGCCGAAGAAGGACGUGAUAAGCUGCGAUAAGCCUUGGGUAGCCGCAAAUAGGCUGAGAUCCAGGGAUUUCCGAAUGAGGAAA